GGGGAAUAUUGCACAAUGGGCGAAAGCCUGAUGCAGCAACGCCGCGUGAGUGAUGAAGGUCUUCGGAUUGUAAAGCUCUGUCUUUUGGGACGAUAAUGACGGUACCAAAGGAGGAAGCCACGGCUAACUACGUGCCAGCAGCCGCGGUAAUACGUAGGUGGCGAGCGUUGUCCGGAUUUACUGGGCGUAAAGGGUGCGUAGGCGGAUGUUUAAGUGAGAUGUGAAAUACCCGGGCUUAACUUGGGUGCUGCAUUUCAAACUGGAUAUCUAGAGUGCAGGAGAGGAGAAUGGAAUUCCUAGUGUAGCGGUGAAAUGCGUAGAGAUUAGGAAGAACACCAGUGGCGAAGGCGAUUCUCUGGACUGUAACUGACGCUGAGGCACGAAAGCGUGGGUAGCAAACAGGAUUAGAUACCCUGGUAGUCCACGCCGUAAACGAUGAGUACUAGGUGUAGGAGGUAUCGACCCCUUCUGUGCCGCAGUAAACACAUUAAGUACUCCGCCUGGGAAGUACGAUCGCAAGAUUAAAAAC
Molecule: ribosomal RNA, 529 nt
Filed under: uncultured bacterium
Lineage: Bacteria
Description: partial 16S ribosomal RNA
Rfam family: Bacterial small subunit ribosomal RNA
Source: RNAcentral